Molecule: ribosomal RNA, 465 nt
Filed under: uncultured bacterium
Lineage: Bacteria
Description: partial 16S ribosomal RNA
Rfam family: Bacterial small subunit ribosomal RNA
Source: RNAcentral
CCUACGGGCUGCAGCAGUGGGGAAUAUUGCGCAAUGGGCGAAAGCCUGACGCCGCGACGCCGCGUGAGGGAUGAAGGUCUUCGGAUCGUAAACCUCUGUCAGCAGGGCAGACCGGUCACUGUGCUAAUCAGCCGUGAAUUGACGGUACCUGCAAAGGCCGCACCGGCUAACUCCGUGCCAGCAGCCGCGGUAAUACGGAGGGUGCGAGCGUUAAUCGGAAUUACUGGGCGUAAGGGGCGUGUAGGCGGGUUGACAAGUCAGAUGUGAAAUCCUGCGGCUUAACCGCAGAACUGCAUUUGAAACUGUUGAUCUUGAGUACUGGAGAGGCAGAUGGAAUUCCUAGUGUAGCGGUGAAAUGCGUAGAGAUGAGGAGGAACAGCAGUGGCGAAGGCGGUCUGCUGGACAGCAACUGACGGUGAGGCGCGAAAGCGUGGGGAGCAAACAGGAUUAGAUACCCGGGUAGUC